RNAcentral lists this ribosomal RNA (426 nucleotides) under uncultured prokaryote. RNAcentral describes it as "bacterial SSU rRNA". It matches the Rfam family "Bacterial small subunit ribosomal RNA", at positions 355 to 774 of the family's 1533-position model. The record is from RNAcentral.
UCGAGAAUCUUUCACAAUGGGCGAAAGCCUGAUGGAGCGACGCCGCGUGGGGGAUGAAUGGCUUCGGCCCGUAAACCCCUGUCAUUCGGGAGCAAGGCGUCCGACCUAACACGUCGGAUGUUGAUAGUACCGGAAGAGGAAGGGACGGCUAACUCUGUGCCAGCAGCCGCGGUAAUACAGAGGUCCCAAGCGUUGUUCGGAUUCACUGGGCGUAACGGGUGCGUAGGCGGCCGGGCAAGUCUGGUGUGAAAUCUCGGAGCUUAACUCCGAAAUGGCAUUGGAUACUGUCCGGCUGGAGGUUGGGAGGGGGGACUGGAAUUCUCGGUGUAGCAGUGAAAUGCGUAGAGAUCGAGAGGAACACCAGUGGCGAAGGCGAGUCCCUGGACCAAUCCUGACGCUGAGGCACGAAAGCCAGGGGAGCAAACG